RNAcentral lists this long non-coding RNA (477 nucleotides) under Homo sapiens (human). RNAcentral's name for it is "HSALNT0347409". Lineage: Eukaryota; Metazoa; Chordata; Mammalia; Primates; Hominidae. The record is from RNAcentral.
CUGGGAGGUGGGUGGCUGCACACUCAAAACUGGCUUCCAACGGGACACAGACAUCAAAACAAAGAAGAGGGUAUGGCCUCACGACAGGGUUGCCUUGCUUACUCAGCCCACAGCUCUCAAACCGUUGCGCGAGGAAGAGCACGCAGGAGAACAGGUGCAGGAGCCAGAGCAAGACAUUUAGGCACUGACGGGAACAAAACUCUGCAGCCCUGUGGCAGUGUCUAAGGAGGAUGCAUGCAUUAUUCUCCACGACUGAUACAGAAGUAAAUUCCAGAAAGCUUUAAAGUCAGUUUGUAUAAAGAGAGGUUCUCUUUGACUGUGAAACAGAAGAAAAUCUUUCCUUAACAAUAACUUACACGUGCCAUGAAAGAGAUGAAGCAGAAGAUUAAGCAGGAAACCCAGCUACUUUUUUGCCCUAAGGCAUUACUCAUUUUCCUGACACAUUAUGUUUUUAAUUAAAAUUACAUGUGAGUUAAU